AGCUUUGCGCAGUGACAUUACCGUAGCUGAUGAGGUCCAUCCGAGGCGCGGUUAUUGCUUAUUGAAAACUUUUCCCAAUACCCCGCGAGACGACUUGAAACAUAGUCGGCUUUGCAAUUUUUGUGGGCCCUGCUUAGGG
Non-coding RNA from Nematostella vectensis (starlet sea anemone), 139 nucleotides. The record is from Rfam. Lineage: Eukaryota; Metazoa; Cnidaria; Anthozoa; Actiniaria; Edwardsiidae.